RNAcentral lists this ribosomal RNA (503 nucleotides) under uncultured bacterium. RNAcentral describes it as "partial 16S ribosomal RNA". It matches the Rfam family "Bacterial small subunit ribosomal RNA", at positions 899 to 1397 of the family's 1533-position model. The record is from RNAcentral.
ACUCAAAGGAAUUGACGGGGGCCCGCACAAGCGGUGGAGCAUGUGGUUUAAUUCGACGCAACGCGAAGAACCUUACCCAGGCUUGACAUGCAGGUAGUAGGGACCUGAAAGGGCGACGACCCCGCAAGGGGAGCCUGCACAGGUGCUGCAUGGCUGUCGUCAGCUCGUGCCGUGAGGUGUUGGGUUAAGUCCCGCAACGAGCGCAACCCCCGCCCUCUGUUUGCUACCGGGUCAUGCCGGGCACUCUGAGGGGACUGCCAGCGAUGAGCUGGAGGAAGGUGGGGAUGACGUCAAGUCAUCAUGGCCUUUAUGCCUGGGGCUACACACGUGCUACAAUGGCCGGUACAGAUGGUUGCAAACCCGCAAGGGGGAGCUAAUCCCAAAAAGCCGGCCUCAGUUCAGAUCGGGGUCUGCAACUCGACCCCGUGAAGGCGGAAUCGCUAGUAAUCGCGUAUCAGCACGACGCGGUGAAUACGUUCCCGGGCCUUGCACACACCGCCCGU